GUGCUCUCUUGAAGAGCACAUAUAUGAAAACUGGAAGGCUACCAAGAAAGAUUAACAUGGCCCCUGUGCAAGAAAGAUGUGAAAAUUCUUGAAGCAUUCCAUCUUCAU
This is a small nuclear RNA of Fukomys damarensis (Damara mole-rat), 108 nucleotides long. Lineage: Eukaryota; Metazoa; Chordata; Mammalia; Rodentia; Bathyergidae. The record is from Ensembl.